Long non-coding RNA from Etheostoma spectabile (orangethroat darter), 108 nucleotides. RefSeq lists it as uncharacterized. Lineage: Eukaryota; Metazoa; Chordata; Actinopteri; Perciformes; Percidae. The transcript is spliced from 3 exons. The record is from RefSeq and is a predicted model, not a curated record.
AAAAAAUAGUGUGAUGUUAAAACAAAUGUGCAAUUCUUCAAAUGAUAUUCCCUUAAAAUGUUUCACAACAGAUUUUCUGAGAAAAUUGAGUUAGUAUGUGCUUGUUGU